Molecule: ribosomal RNA, 292 nt
Filed under: uncultured eukaryote
Lineage: Eukaryota
Description: partial 18S ribosomal RNA
Rfam family: Eukaryotic small subunit ribosomal RNA
Source: RNAcentral
GGUUGAUCCUGCCAGUAGUCAUAUGCUUGUCUCAAAGAUUAAGCCAUGCAUGUCUAAGUAUGAACAAUUCCAUACUGUGAAACUGCGAAUGGCUCAUUAAAUCAGUUACAGUUUAUUUGAUAGUACCUUACUACUUGGAUAACCGUAGUAAUUCUAGAGCUAAUACAUGCGAAAAGACCCGACUUUUUGGAAGGGUUGCAUUUAUUAGAUACAAAACCAAUCUGGGCAACCAGCUUAAUGGUGAUUCAUAAUAACUUUUGCGGAUCGCAUGGCCUUGUGCCGGCGACGAAUC